RNAcentral lists this ribosomal RNA (438 nucleotides) under uncultured bacterium. RNAcentral's name for it is "bacterial SSU rRNA". It matches the Rfam family "Bacterial small subunit ribosomal RNA", at positions 343 to 797 of the family's 1533-position model. The record is from RNAcentral.
GGGAGGCAGCAGUGAGGAAUAUUGCACAAUGGGCGAAAGCCUGAUGCAGCAACGCCGCGUGAGGGACGAAGGCCUUCGGGUCGUAAACCUCUUUUCUGAGGGACGAGUAAGGACGGUACCUCAGGAAUGAGUCUCGGCUAACUACGUGCCAGCAGCCGCGGUAAAACGUAGGAGGCGAGCGUUAUCCGGAUUUACUGGGCGUAAAGCGCACGCAGGUGGCUGUGUAAGUCGGACAUGAAAGCUCCUGGCUUAACUGGGAGAGGUGGUUCGAAACUGCAUAGCUUGAGGUUGGGAGAGGGACGUGGAAUUCCCGGUGUAGUGGUGGAAUGCGUAGAUAUCGGGAGGAACACCAGUGGCGCAAGCGGCGUCCUGGCCCACACCUGACGCUGAGGUGCGAAAGCGUGGGUAGCAAACAGGAUUAGAUACCCGCGUAGUCCG